Molecule: ribosomal RNA, 396 nt
Filed under: uncultured bacterium
Lineage: Bacteria
Description: bacterial SSU rRNA
Rfam family: Bacterial small subunit ribosomal RNA
Source: RNAcentral
AUUGAACGCUGGCGGCAUGCCUUACACAUGCAAGUCGAACGGCAGCACGGGAGCAAUCCUGGUGGCGAGUGGCGAACGGGUGAGUAAUAUAUCGGAACGUGCCCAGUCGUGGGGAUAACGUAGCGAAAGCUACGCUAAUACCGCAUACGAUCUAUGGAUGAAAGCGGGGGAUCGCAAGACCUCGCGCGAUUGGAGCGGCCGAUAUCAGAUUAGGUAGUUGGUGAGGUAAAGGCUCACCAAGCCGACGAUCUGUAGCUGGUCUGAGAGGACGACCAGCCACACUGGGACUGAGACACGGCCCAGACUCCUACGGGAGGCAGCAGUGGGGAAUUUUGGACAAUGGGCGCAAGCCUGAUCCAGCAAUGCCGCGUGCAGGAUGAAGGCCUCGGUUGUAAC